CUACGGGGGGCAGCAGUGGGGAAUAUUGGACAAUGGGGGAAACCCUGAUCCAGCAAUGCCGCGUGUGUGAAGAAGGCCUGCGGGUUGUAAAGCACUUUCGGUUGGGAGGACUGCUUCUAGCACUAAUAUUGUUGGAAGUUGACGUUACCUUCAGAAGAAGCACCGGCUAACUCCGUGCCAGCAGCCGCGGUAAUACGGGGGGGUGCAAGCGUUAAUCGGAAUUACUGGGCGUAAAGCGCGCGUAGGCGGCUAGAUCAGUCGGGUGUGAAAGCCCCGGGCUUAACCUGGGAACUGCAUCCGAUACUGUCUAGCUUGAGUACAGGAGAGGAGAGUGGAAUUCCACAUGUAGCGGUGAAAUGCGUAGAUAUGUGGAGGAACACCAAUGGCGAAGGCAGCUCUCUGGCCUGAUACUGACGCUGAGGUGCGGAAGCGUGGGGAGCAAACAGGAUUAGAUACCCCUGUAGUC
RNAcentral lists this ribosomal RNA (466 nucleotides) under uncultured bacterium. Its description in RNAcentral is "partial 16S ribosomal RNA". It matches the Rfam family "Bacterial small subunit ribosomal RNA", at positions 339 to 795 of the family's 1533-position model. The record is from RNAcentral.